This is a ribosomal RNA of Crocodylus porosus (Australian saltwater crocodile), 124 nucleotides long. The record is from Ensembl. Lineage: Eukaryota; Metazoa; Chordata; Crocodylia; Crocodylidae.
AGUUAUGGGCUGCCCUUGCCAGACUGAAUGUGCAUGAUCUGAUUGGGUCUUAGGUGUAAAGCGGGCCUAGGCCUGGCUAGUAUUUGGAUGGGUGACCACCUUGGAAUCCCAGGCACCAUAGCUG